Molecule: long non-coding RNA, 190 nt
Organism: Homo sapiens (human)
Lineage: Eukaryota; Metazoa; Chordata; Mammalia; Primates; Hominidae
Exons: 2
Source: RefSeq, a predicted model, not a curated record
CCAGGGCAUAGAUUCCAACUCUGGAGCAUGGAUGUGGGCAGCUGGGCAAGUUGCAUCAGCCUGGCAGCAGGAGGACAGACUGCAGAGCCGCAGGUGCUCAGGAACAUGAGACAGCCCUCUCCAGACCAGCCAAGCCAUGGAAAAUAACCACCAUGUUUGCAUGUUUAAAAAAUAAAUUAUUUAAAAUGUA